Ixodes scapularis (black-legged tick) is the source of this 780-nucleotide long non-coding RNA. RefSeq lists it as uncharacterized. NCBI's taxonomy places the organism in Eukaryota, Metazoa, Arthropoda, Arachnida, Ixodida, Ixodidae. The transcript is spliced from 2 exons. The record is from RefSeq and is a predicted model, not a curated record.
GCAUUCACAAGACAUGCCACUUAGAAAUGCAAGAAUCAAAGAGAAAAUAACUUGUAAAAUAAUAAAAAAAAAAAGCAUGAUCCCUUAAUGAUUUAGAAGAUCACGAAAAUGCAAACAAGACGAGGAUGGAGGGAGGUGUACACAUGAAAUGGAUGGUCGCUUUGCAUACUCCAGCUUCAUCUUUAUCUUAUUUCCACUGCUUCAGGUUUAGGUCAUUAUGCCCAAGCAAAGCAUAAAUCAUAUCAUAUUUAUUUUCAAUUUAGUCAUAAACAUCAGUUAGACAAAGCAUUUCAGUUAGGAAAUUUAAAAAUGACUGAUUGUGAUUAAUGAACUGUGGCUCACUAUGUGCUCAAAAGUUUGAAAAUGUGCACUCCGUGCAACAUACGUAUUAUCCCCAUUUCAUUGGUGCCACGAGGAAGGGGGGUCCUAUACAGUAGCACUCUGGCUUUAGUCUGCUUGUUUUUCUACCCCUUUCAGGUGGCAGUUGCACUGAUCUUCUCAACAUCGCCCCCUGGCUCGCACGACUGGCAGAGCAGCAAGGAUGGCUCGUUCUCCCUAGAUGGCAGUUGCACUGAUCUUCUCAACAUUAUCCCCUGGCUGGUAUGACUGGCAGAGCAGCAAGGAUGGCUCGUUUUCCCUAGGUUGCGUGAUGCUGCGCACGGAGUGAUGAUUUCAACUACCCAACGAGGCAUGGGGAUCGUAUUUUUCUUUCAGCAGUGUUGAGAGUCUUUAUCUGGGUGGUGUUGUACCUGAAUGAGUUAAUAAAUGUUACGAGUCAGA